This is a regulatory RNA element of Pan troglodytes (chimpanzee), 49 nucleotides long. NCBI's taxonomy places the organism in Eukaryota, Metazoa, Chordata, Mammalia, Primates, Hominidae. The record is from Rfam.
GGGAAACAGGAAGAGGGGCCUGCCUCAGGCCCCUCAACAAACCGAGGCA